This 328-nucleotide ribosomal RNA is filed under the name uncultured bacterium. RNAcentral's name for it is "bacterial SSU rRNA". It matches the Rfam family "Bacterial small subunit ribosomal RNA", at positions 32 to 340 of the family's 1533-position model. The record is from RNAcentral.
AAUCAACGCUGGCGGCGUGCCUCAGACAUGCAAGUCGAACGCGAAAGGCCCCUUCGGGGGCCCGGUAGAGUGGCGCACGGGUGAGUAACACGUAGGUAAUUUGCCUUCGGGUGGGGAAUAACAGCCGGAAACGGCUGCUAAUACCGCAUAAUGCAGCGGCUCGACAUCGAGACAGUUGUUAAAGCGGGGGAUCGCAAGACCUCGCGCCUGAAGAGAAGCCUGCGGCAGAUAGCUUGUUGGUGAGGUAAUGGCUCACCAAGGCGACGAUCUGUAACCGGCCUGAGAGGGCGGUCGGUCACACUGACACUGACAUACGGGUCAGACUCCU